Molecule: long non-coding RNA, 1806 nt
Organism: Sardina pilchardus (European sardine)
Lineage: Eukaryota; Metazoa; Chordata; Actinopteri; Clupeiformes; Clupeidae
Exons: 3
Source: RefSeq, a predicted model, not a curated record
GCACAUCAAAACAUUACAAUAAACUUACACGAUUGCAAUGGGACACAUAAGUAUGAUAAAGAUAUUAGGGCAUACAUCUCACACUGAGUAGUUAUUCACCAUCGUUUGCAAAUUGGUUACGACGGAUAAAGGUCAUUAGGCGAGAGAAGAGUGAUACUCUAGGAUAAAUAUCCGUAGGUUUCAUUCGAACAUUAUUUGGAUUUUCUGAAAUGUCACCACUGUGCUGGGAGCCAGUGUGAUGAGAUGAGCUGUCUUCUAGGAAUGGAUCGCUGUAUGAAAGUCGAAACCUCAGAGAAAGGUGUAUAUGCUAAAUCCUGUGCCAAUCAAGCGAUGUGUGAUGUCAAAACACCUGUGUUUAAAACAUGGUGCUGCGAGGGGGAUUUAUGUAACGAUGCCGGUGCCAUCGAGAGGAGCCUCCUGCUUCUGCUGGUGCCAUUGGCCUCCAUCUUUGUUCUCUCCUGAGCCGUCAGCAGCUCCAUCCUCCUCACCACUGGCCCCAGUGCAUCGCUGUACCACAAUGCAAUCUAUAACCAGGGUUUACACGUUGCUUUUGGAAACAUUCUUUUGGUUAAUAGGCUAAACGGGAUGGGCUGUAUAUGAGAAUGUGUUUACGGAGAGCUGGCUCACUCCUUAUUAUGACCACCGCUAGCAUAGCGCUCAUAUCGUGAUUGUCACUUUUUCCUUUGUCUUCUCUUCUUUUUUCCCGUCAUCUACUCCCUGAAUUUUUGGUCAACGGUUCCCAGGACACCGUAAGAGCGGGGCACAUGAAACUUCAUGGGCAUUUAGCCCCAGUAGACUUCUACAGAAAAAUUAGAAGUCCAAAAAAUGCAGUUUUUCCUAAAUAACUACCUGAACCAUGACACCGAGGAUGGCUAAAUGUUUAUGGUAUGUAGGUCUUAAGAGCCCGUAUCAACUUAGCUGAUAACCAGUCAUUUGUGAUUUGCAUCCCCAUAGUAAAAUAUGAAAAUGCGAUAUUAUAUUGCUUUUAUCGCCCCUAUCUUCAAAUGAAAUGUACACCCAUCGGCCUGCAGAUGGUGCUAUUGAGCCAAGGAUUGCUGGUUAAGAAUGACACUGUCACACACACACACACACACACACACAUGCACAGAUACACACACAUACACAGAUUCCGCACACACACACGUAUGCACACACACACAUACAGUACAUGCACAGACACACACACACACACACAUCCAUACACAGACAUGCACACACACUCUUAUGCACAAAAGCAAACUCACACAUGCACACACUCAUUAACACAUGAGCUGAAAGAGUAUAGGAGAUAUAUGCAUAGAAAUUGCACAAAUAGAGAUACAGGAAAGGCCAGGUCAAAUUGUUAUAGUUAACUAGUUAACUCCAUUGUACCUGCAAUCUAGUGCAGUUCUUCUAGGGGCGAUCGCGAGUAAGUGCAAAAACACACAUCAAUUUGUAUGAUUCCCGAAACCAGUCAUUUCCUCAUGGGAUUUUUUUCAGGAUUUUUUGUACGAUCUGGAACAUGCAAAAAUGCUAAUCAAACAUAUUCUAAAUUACUCGUUAGACAUUCUGUGGUGGUGUUUACUGCACACGGUGUGCUUUUAUUUUGAAUAAUUUGGUGGCCGUAUAUUGGGAAGGAACCAAGAUCCUGGUGUUAAUUGAAGCUUACUCUCUGGGGUAGCAAAAUUCAAUGUGUGCCUUAACAUGCCAAAGAUCACAGUAUCCACUUAUGGGCAAAGAUGGUAGCUUUUUAGGUCUAUUCCACUGGCAAAGAGAAAAGCUGAAGAGGGAAGUGAAAGCCUUUUCCCUGGACACAAUAGAUGAAAA